CAUAAAAAGACUAAAGAAAAACAAGACCAAGAAAGAGCACAAAUGAAAGAGAGGCUGAAAUGUCUCCCGCUAAAGAGUCAGUGAUUGAAUCCUGCCUGGCCUGUCUCAGUAUCAGAUAUCCUCUGUGAUGGAAGCUCAUUGACUGUUCAGUUAGUACAUGGUACAGAUUGUAUUUAUAUGUAAAUCCCUGCUGAAAAAUAAUUUUUAAAACCCUGACAUUUCAAAGGCUGCCUUGAAAGGUUGCAGAAAUUGAUUUCUAUUUUUAAUUUCAGUUAGUGUCAGAGGGAAAAAUUCAGACUGAAUAGUUUAAUUAAAGUGGCAUUUUUCUAUUUC
This is a long non-coding RNA of Chinchilla lanigera (long-tailed chinchilla), 333 nucleotides long. RefSeq lists it as uncharacterized. Lineage: Eukaryota; Metazoa; Chordata; Mammalia; Rodentia; Chinchillidae. The record is from RefSeq and is a predicted model, not a curated record. The transcript is spliced from 2 exons.